Molecule: ribosomal RNA, 520 nt
Filed under: uncultured bacterium
Lineage: Bacteria
Description: bacterial SSU rRNA
Rfam family: Bacterial small subunit ribosomal RNA
Source: RNAcentral
GGGAACAUACCCUUUUCUACGGAAUAGCUCUGGGAAACUGGAAUUAAUACCGUAUACGCCCUACGGGGGAAAGAUUUAUCGGGGAAGGAUUGGCCCGCGUUGGAUUAGCUAGUUGGUGGGGUAAAGGCCUACCAAGGCGACGAUCCAUAGCUGGUCUGAGAGGGUGAUCAGCCACAUUGGGACUGAGACACGGCCCAAACUCCUACGGGAGGCAGCAGUGGGGAAUAUUGGACAAUGGGCGCAAGCCUGAUCCAGCCAUGCCGCGUGAGUGAUGAAGGCCUUAGGGUUGUAAAGCUCUUUCACCGAUGAAGAUAAUGACGGUAGUCGGAGAAGAAGCCCCGGCUAACUUCGUGCCAGCAGCCGCGGUAAUACGAAGGGGGCUAGCGUUGUUCGGAAUUACUGGGCGUAAAGCGCACGUAGGCGGAUAUUUAAGUCAGGGGUGAAAUCCCAGAGCUCAACUCUGGAACUGCCUUUGAUACUGGGUAUCUUGAGUAUGGAAGAGGUAAGUGGAAUUGCGAGU